CUUUUAUCACACUAGUGUGAGAAAAUCCCUUGCAAAUCCUUUAUCGCACUAGAUACGUUCAUACGACAUUGCACACAGACGGCGUAAGUUACAAAUAUCAUCACUGAAUUGCAUAAAAUAUAAUAUGCAAAUUCACUUAAGAUU
Bradysia coprophila is the source of this 144-nucleotide long non-coding RNA. NCBI's taxonomy places the organism in Eukaryota, Metazoa, Arthropoda, Insecta, Diptera, Sciaridae. The record is from RefSeq and is a predicted model, not a curated record.